CCGAAAGGCAGGAGUGCCUGCAAGGGAGCGCGGAGACAGGUGGUGCAUGGCUGUCGUCAGCUCGUGUCGUGAGAUGUUGGGUUAAGUCCCGCAACGAGCGCAACCCUCACCUCUUGUUGCCAUCAGGUCAUGCUGGGCACUCUAGAGGAACUGCCCCGGUCAACGGGGAGGAAGGCGGGGAUGACGUCAAGUCAUCAUGCCCCUUACGUCCUGGGCUACACACGUGCUACAAUGGCCGGUACAAAUGGAUGCCACACCGCGAGGUAGGGCUAAACCCAAAAAGCCGGUCUAAGUUCGGAUUGGAGUCUGCAACUCGACUCCAUGAAGGAGGAAUCGCUAGUAAUCGCGUAUCAGCACGACGCGGUGAAUACGUUCCCGGGCCUUGUACACACCGCCCGUCACACCACGAAAGCCAG
RNAcentral lists this ribosomal RNA (416 nucleotides) under uncultured bacterium. Its description in RNAcentral is "bacterial SSU rRNA". It matches the Rfam family "Bacterial small subunit ribosomal RNA", at positions 1001 to 1414 of the family's 1533-position model. The record is from RNAcentral.